CGUCACAACCUACGACGGUUUUACGAUUUCGUAGUGCUAAGAUGGCUUCGAAAAUAUGGGUCCAGGGCCAGGUGACCUGUACCGCCUCUAUUUGCGAUCAUGCUCUGCCCACGACCCUCCUGAUCAACUCCGCAACCUGAAAGAGGAAUAACAUUGUUUUCUUUUAGUGACUCACUUCAAAAUUUCCGUCUUACUUGAAAGGAUUCUCAAAACGUUCAACCAUGACCUAGCGCGGUGGUUUUUGUUUUCGGCGCUGCGCUGCUGACGGUAAACAGAUUGCAGCACGGAGAACAUGCUUUUAAUAGCGCGCACAAAUUACCAUCAGAAUGAACGCACACGGAAAGAGAUUGAAACAGAAUCAUUAUCCCACACGUCUGCAGACACAAAACUGGCAGCCAUUUGCAUUUUCCCAUUCACCCAUGUGUUAAUUUUGUCGCCGUAGAAGCGUCAUACCGCGCGGCAGGCAAAUUAUGUAAAGACACUCCAGAGGAGUUAUGUAAAGUUUGCUAGUUUACACAAUUCGCAAAAAAAAAGAAAGAAAAA
Molecule: long non-coding RNA, 543 nt
Organism: Gigantopelta aegis
Lineage: Eukaryota; Metazoa; Mollusca; Gastropoda; Neomphalida; Peltospiridae
Exons: 2
Source: RefSeq, a predicted model, not a curated record